This 494-nucleotide ribosomal RNA is filed under the name uncultured bacterium. RNAcentral describes it as "partial 16S ribosomal RNA". It matches the Rfam family "Bacterial small subunit ribosomal RNA", at positions 28 to 507 of the family's 1533-position model. The record is from RNAcentral.
GAUGAACGCUGGCGGCGUGCUUAACACAUGCAAGUCGAACGGUAAAGCGCCUUCCUUUUUGGUGUGUGUGGAUGAGUGGCGAACGGUGCGGUAACACUUGAGUAACCUGCCCCCUUCUGCUGGAUAACCGCAUGAAAGUGUGUCUAAUACCGGAUAUUCUGGGGCGGUCGCAUGAUGGGUCUUUGAAAGAUCGUGUUUCGGUGGGGGAUGGGCUGGUGGCCUAUCAGCUUGUUGGUGGGGCGAUGGCCUACCACGACGGUGACGGGUAGACGGCCUGAGAGGGUGGACGGUCUCACUGGGGCUGAGAGACAGCGCAGACUCCUACGGGAGGCAGAGGUGGAGAGUAUAGCAGGAUGGGGAGAAGCCUGAUGCCGAGACGCGGCGUGAGGGAUGGAGGGCUUCUGGUUGUGGACAUCUUUCGCUAGUGAAGCAGGACUGCCUGGUUUGUGGGUGGGUUGACGGUAGCUGAAUAAGAAGCACCGGCUAACUACGUG